RNAcentral lists this ribosomal RNA (465 nucleotides) under uncultured bacterium. Its description in RNAcentral is "partial 16S ribosomal RNA". It matches the Rfam family "Bacterial small subunit ribosomal RNA", at positions 338 to 795 of the family's 1533-position model. The record is from RNAcentral.
CCUACGGGAGGCAGCAGUGGGGAAUAUUGCGCAAUGGGCGAAAGCCUGACGCAGCGACGCCGCGUGAGGGAUGAAGGUCUUCGGAUCGUAAACCUCUGUCAGCAGGGAAGAACGGUCACUGUGCUAAUCAGCAGUGAAUUGACGGUACCUGCAAAGGAAGCACCGGCUAACUCCGUGCCAGCAGCCGCGGUAAUACGGAGGGUGCGAGCGCUAAUCGGAAUUACUGGGCGUAAAGCGCUCGUAGGCGGUAUGUCAAGUCAAGGGGGAAAUCCCCGCGCGCAACGUGGGAACUGCCUGUGAAACUGGCAAACUGGAGUGUGUGAGAGGAUAGUGGAAUUCCAGGUGUAGGAGUGAAAUCCGUAGAUAUCUGGAGGAACAUCAGUGGCGAAGGCGACUAUCUGGCACAUAACUGACGCUGAGGAGCGAAAGCGUGGGUAGCAAACAGGAUUAGAUACCCCAGUAGUC